ACCAGGCGUGGUGGUGCACACCUGUAAUCCCAGCUACUUGGGAGGCUGAGGCAGGAGGAUGACAAGUUUGAGGUUGGACUAAACAACUUAAUGAGACCCUCUCUCUC
This 107-nucleotide small RNA is filed under the name Marmota monax (woodchuck). The record is from RNAcentral. Lineage: Eukaryota; Metazoa; Chordata; Mammalia; Rodentia; Sciuridae.